Molecule: ribosomal RNA, 114 nt
Filed under: Escherichia coli
Lineage: Bacteria; Pseudomonadati; Pseudomonadota; Gammaproteobacteria; Enterobacterales; Enterobacteriaceae
Source: RNAcentral
UGGCGGCCUUAGCGCGGUGGUCCCACCUGACCCCAUGCCGAACUCAGAAGUGAAACGCCGUAGCGCCGAUGGUAGUGUGGGGUCUCCCAUGCGAGAGUAGGGAACUGCCAGGCA